GGGUUGUGAGGUUAAGCGACUAAGCGUACACGGUGGAUGCCCUGGCAGUCAGAGGCGAUGAAGGACGUGCUAAUCUGCGAAAAGCGUCGGUAAGGUGAUAUGAACCGUUACAGCCGGCGAUGUCCGAAUGGGGAAACCCAGUGCAAUUCGUUGCACUAUCGUUAACUGAAUACAUAGGUUAACGAGGCGAACCGGGGGAACUGAAACAUCUAAGUACCCCGAGGAAAAGAAAUCAACCGAGAUUCCCCCAGUAGCGGCGAGCGAACGGGGAGCAGCCCAGAGUCUGAAUCAGCUUGUGUGUUAGUGGAACGGUCUGGAAAGUCCGACGGUACAGGGUGAUAGUCCCGUACACCAAAAUGCACAGGUUGUGAACUCGAAGAGUAGGGCGGGACACGUGGUAUCCUGUCUGAAUAUGGGGGGACCAUCCUCCAAGGCUAAAUACUCCUGACUGACCGAUAGUGAACCAGUACCGUGAGGGAAAGGCGAAAAGAACCCCGGCGAGGGGAGUGAAAAAGAACCUGAAACCGUGUACGUACAAGCAGUGGGAGCACCUUCGGGUGUGACUGCGUACCUUUUUGUAUAAUGGGUCAGCGACUUAUAUUCUGUAGCAAGGUUAACCGUAUAGGGGAGCCGCAGGGAAACCGAGUCUUAACUGGGCGUUAAGUUGCAGGGUAUAGACCCGAAACCCGGUGAUCUAGCCAUGGGCAGGU
This 710-nucleotide ribosomal RNA is filed under the name Klebsiella pneumoniae. RNAcentral's name for it is "bacterial LSU rRNA". It matches the Rfam family "Bacterial large subunit ribosomal RNA", at positions 1 to 745 of the family's 2925-position model. The record is from RNAcentral. Lineage: Bacteria; Pseudomonadati; Pseudomonadota; Gammaproteobacteria; Enterobacterales; Enterobacteriaceae.